Molecule: non-coding RNA, 107 nt
Organism: Diatrype stigma
Lineage: Eukaryota; Fungi; Ascomycota; Sordariomycetes; Xylariales; Diatrypaceae
Source: the annotation of a GenBank genome assembly
GCCGGGAUGGUGGAGUGGUCUAACACGUGCGACUCAAGAUAAUUCUUGAUCCCUCAAAAGGAUUUCGCAUCUCGAAAGAGGCGUGAGUUCGAAUCUCACUUCCGGCA